RNAcentral lists this ribosomal RNA (468 nucleotides) under uncultured bacterium. Its description in RNAcentral is "partial 16S ribosomal RNA". It matches the Rfam family "Bacterial small subunit ribosomal RNA", at positions 28 to 507 of the family's 1533-position model. The record is from RNAcentral.
GACGAACGCUGGCGGCGUGCUUAACACAUGCAAGUCGAACGGAAAGGCCCUGCUUUUGUGGGGUGCUCGAGUGGCGAACGGGUGAGUAACACGUGAGUAACCUGCCCUUGACUUUGGGAUAACUUCAGGAAACUGGGGCUAAUACCGGAUAGGAGCUCCUGCUGCAUGGUGGGGGUUGGAAAGUUUCGGCGGUUGGGGCUGGACUCGCGGCUUAUCAGCUUGUUGGUGGGGUAGUGGCUUACCAAGGCUUUGACGGGUAGCCGGCCUGAGAGGGUGACCGGCAACAUUGGGACUGAGAUACGGCCCAGACUCCUACGGGAGGCAGCAGUGGGGAAUAUUGCAAAAUGGGCGGAAGCCUGAUGCAGCAACGCCGCGUGCGGGAUGACGGCCUUCGGGUUGUAAACCGCUUUCGCCUGUGACGAAGCGUGAGUGACGGUAAUGGGUAAAGAAGCACCGGCUAACUACGUG